GUGGGGAAUCUUCCACAAUGGACGAAAGUCUGAUGGAGCAACGCCGCGUGAGUGAAGAAGGGUUUCGGCUCGUAAAGCUCUGUUGUCGGGGACGAAUGUGCAGUAUUUGAAUAAAGUACUGCAAUGACGGUACCUGACGAGGAAGCCACGGCUAACUACGUGCCAGCAGCCGCGGUAAUACGUAGGUGGCAAGCGUUGUCCGGAAUUAUUGGGCGUAAAGGGAGCGCAGGCGGGAAGGUAAGUCGGUCUUAAAAGUGCGGGGCUCAACCCCGUGAUGGGAUCGAAACGAUCUUGCUGUAGUGCAGGAGAGGAAAGUGGAAUUCCUAGUGUAGCGGUGAAAUGCGUAGAUAUUAGGAGGAACACCAGUGGCGAAGGCGACUUUCUGGACUGUAACUGACGCUGAGGCUCGAAAGCCAGGGGAGCGAACGGGAUUAGAUACCCCUGUAGUCC
RNAcentral lists this ribosomal RNA (450 nucleotides) under uncultured bacterium. RNAcentral's name for it is "partial 16S ribosomal RNA". It matches the Rfam family "Bacterial small subunit ribosomal RNA", at positions 354 to 796 of the family's 1533-position model. The record is from RNAcentral.